AGGGUUUGAUCAUGGGCUCAGAUUGAACGCUGGCGGCAUGCUUUACACAUGCAAGUCGAACGGUAACGCGGGUGCUUGCACCUGGCGACGAGUGGCGAACGGGUGAGUAGAACAUCGGAACGUAUCCUUGAGUGGGGGAUAGCCCGGCGAAAGCCGGAUUAAUACCGCAUGAUCUCUGAGGAGCAAAGCGGGGGACUCGAAAGGGCCUCGCGCUGUUGGAGCGGCCGAUGCCGGAUUAGCUUGUUGGUGGGGUAAAGGCUCACCAAGGCCACGAUCCGUAGCUGGUCUGAGAGGAUGAUCAGCCACACUGGAACUGAGACACGGUCCAGACUCCUACGGGAGGCAGCAGUGGGGAAUUUUGGACAAUGGGGGCAACCCUGAUCCAGCCAUGCCGCGUGCGGGAAGAAGGCCUUCGGGUUGUAAACCGCUUUCGUACGGGACGAAAUGGUGCAGGUGAAUUAGCCUGUAUUGAUGACGGUACCGUUAAGAAGAAGCACCGGCUAACUACGUGCCAGCAGCCGCGGUUAAUACGUAGGGUGCGAGCGUUAAUCG
This 552-nucleotide ribosomal RNA is filed under the name uncultured beta proteobacterium. RNAcentral describes it as "bacterial SSU rRNA". It matches the Rfam family "Bacterial small subunit ribosomal RNA", at positions 8 to 547 of the family's 1533-position model. The record is from RNAcentral. Lineage: Bacteria; Pseudomonadati; Pseudomonadota; Betaproteobacteria.